GCGAGGGUAGCCAAGCGGCCAACGGCGACGGACUCAAGAUCCGUUCUUGAAGAAGUUCAUGGGUUCGAAUCCCCUCCCUCGCA
This 83-nucleotide transfer RNA is filed under the name Candidatus Methanoperedentaceae archaeon. Its description in RNAcentral is "tRNA-Leu". It matches the Rfam family "tRNA". Rfam says of the family: Transfer RNA (tRNA) molecules are approximately 80 nucleotides in length. Their secondary structure includes four short double-helical elements and three loops (D, anti-codon, and T loops). Further hydrogen bonds mediate the characteristic L-shaped molecular structure. tRNAs have two regions of fundamental functional importance: the anti-codon, which is responsible for specific mRNA codon recognition, and the 3' end, to which the tRNAs corresponding amino acid is attached (by aminoacyl-tRNA synthetases). tRNAs cope with the degeneracy of the genetic code in two manners: having more than one tRNA (with a specific anti-codon) for a particular amino acid; and 'wobble' base-pairing, i.e. permitting non-standard base-pairing at the 3rd anti-codon position. The record is from RNAcentral. Lineage: Archaea; Methanobacteriati; Methanobacteriota; Methanomicrobia; Methanosarcinales; Candidatus Methanoperedentaceae. RNAcentral also lists the same sequence under 2 other names.